GGACUUCUUUCGGCAGCACAUAUACUAAAAUUGGAAUGAUACGGAGGUUAGCACGGCUCUUACACAGGAUGACAGGCAAAUUUUGAGGCAUUCUAUGUUUUU
Sarcophilus harrisii (Tasmanian devil) is the source of this 102-nucleotide small nuclear RNA. Lineage: Eukaryota; Metazoa; Chordata; Mammalia; Dasyuromorphia; Dasyuridae. The record is from Ensembl.